RNAcentral lists this unclassified non-coding RNA (159 nucleotides) under uncultured Dothideomycetes. RNAcentral describes it as "sequence contains ITS2". Lineage: Eukaryota; Fungi; Ascomycota; Dothideomycetes. The record is from RNAcentral.
CACCAAUCAAGCCUUGCUUGGUAUUGGGCCUGGUUCCCUUGUAAAAAGGGGGACCGACCUUAAAGAUCGUGGCGGCAUGGUCCGGCUUCAAGCGUAGCAAAUGUUUUCGCUCAUGAGGUUUCCGGAUGAUGUUCUGUCCAUAAAUCAUUAUUUUUCAAA